Molecule: long non-coding RNA, 1192 nt
Organism: Hippoglossus stenolepis (Pacific halibut)
Lineage: Eukaryota; Metazoa; Chordata; Actinopteri; Pleuronectiformes; Pleuronectidae
Exons: 4
Source: RefSeq, a predicted model, not a curated record
UCCCUGUGUUUACCUCCAAGAAACCCCAGACAGACCAUGCUUUGUCAUUCGUUUGUUGCCAGAUUGUCCUUCUACCUUCAUGGACGCAGCCUCUGUAGUGUAUUUCGAGUUCAGGACUUUUUACCUGCACACUGAUUUUUCCACCUUUCCCUUUUGGAUUAGUUUUUGUGGUCAUUGCCUCCAGUAUCUCCAUAGCUGUGGGAAAGAGACAGGGAAGUCUCCGUCUGUCACCUCUGGCAUUCAGGAGAGAGGAGGAGAGGUUUUUGGAUAAGUUUACAUUUAGGUCCAAACACUGCAGGAUUGACUGACUGAAGUCUGACCUUGUGAGUUUUGAGAGACGGCCACAGCAGAGACAAAAAGACAGAGAGGCAGAGGCAGGCUGUCCAUCCAGCUCAGAGAGAUACCAGCUCGGAUACAAACAUCAACCUCUGAUUUCCAGAUAAUCGCUUAAUUCUCUCCUUUGUGAUGAGUGGACACUGAAUCUAUCAGGAGUGAUUGGGACAGUUGUGUCUUUGGAGAUGGAGUGUGUCUUCCACUAAUCAGAAGGUCAGCGGUUCGAUGCCCAGCUCCUCCAGUCCGCCUGGUGAAGAGACGUUGGGCAAUAGACACAUGCGCUCAUACACGCGAUGUCUGACCAUACACAGCUGCAUAUGCACGGAGCCCCAUGCAUAUGCAGGAACAAUGUCAGGUCACACACACGUUACGUUUUCAGCAUCAAUGGACACACACCCAUCCGAGCUUCUGACAGAGUACCCCGGGGAUGGAUAGCAUCACAUUUAAACACUUAACAGAGCAACUGGCUGUCUCAAUGUAUCUCCGACUCUUCCUCUCAAUCCUACAGCUGCUGAGAGAGAUAGACAGAUACUGCAGAUGUUCCUGCUAAUGGAUCAAAAGACAAAUGGGGCUUUAAAAGGGAGAGCCGCCCCACAGGAGUGGUGUGUCCCGAACAGAUAAUUAUGUGACAUAUUCUUUGUCUGGUGAUUUUUAUCAUAUGCCAUUUUUUUAUUAGCUCAGAUGAAAAUGUAUUCGGCGACCGCAGCAGUGUAAUGUAUCAUAUUGUGUGCUACAUAUAUUAUUAUGUUCUCUCUGCGCAAUGAUUUUGUCACAAUGGCUGUCAUCAUAACAGUGACGAAUAGCAUUGAUUUUUACAUUGUUACAUGUGUAUGCUCAUUAUUUCAUUAUGAGCAUUGUG